RNAcentral lists this ribosomal RNA (482 nucleotides) under uncultured bacterium. RNAcentral describes it as "partial 16S ribosomal RNA". It matches the Rfam family "Bacterial small subunit ribosomal RNA", at positions 28 to 507 of the family's 1533-position model. The record is from RNAcentral.
GACGAACGCUGGCGGCGUGCUUAACACAUGCAAGUCGAACGCUGAAGCUCAGCUUGCUUGGUGGAUGCGAGGCGCAAGGGUGUGUGUAACGUGUGUGAAACCUCCCCUUAAUUGGGAUAAAGCUCGGAGAAACGUGCUCAAAUAGGGUAUACAAUGAUUCGCGCCAUGGGGUUGGUGGAAAGGUUUUUUCUGGUGGGGGAUGGGCUCGCGGCCUAUCAGCUUGUUGGUGGGGUGAUGGCUUACCAAGGCUUUGACGGGUAGCUGGCCUGAGAGGGUGACCGGUCACAUUGGGACUGAGCUACGGCCCAGACGCCUACGGGAGGCAGCAGUGGGGAAUAUUGCACAAUGGGCGAAAGCCUGAUGCAGCGACGCCGCGUGAGGGAUGGGGGUCUUCGAGUUGUAAACCUCUGUCGCUCAUGGUCAAGCCGCAGCUGUGGGUUGUGGUGAGGGUAGUGGGUAAAGAAGCGCCGGCUAACUACGUG